Molecule: ribosomal RNA, 2825 nt
Filed under: Klebsiella pneumoniae
Lineage: Bacteria; Pseudomonadati; Pseudomonadota; Gammaproteobacteria; Enterobacterales; Enterobacteriaceae
Description: bacterial LSU rRNA
Rfam family: Bacterial large subunit ribosomal RNA
Source: RNAcentral
GGGUUGUGAGGUUAAGCGACUAAGCGUACACGGUGGAUGCCCUGGCAGUCAGAGGCGAUGAAGGACGUGCUAAUCUGCGAAAAGCGUCGGUAAGGUGAUAUGAACCGUUAUAACCGGCGAUGUCCGAAUGGGGAAACCCAGUGCAAUUCGUUGCACUAUCGUUAACUGAAUACAUAGGUUAACGAGGCGAACCGGGGGAACUGAAACAUCUAAGUACCCCGAGGAAAAGAAAUCAACCGAGAUUCCCCCAGUAGCGGCGAGCGAACGGGGAGCAGCCCAGAGUCUGAAUCAGCUUGUGUGUUAGUGGAACGGUCUGGAAAGUCCGACGGUACAGGGUGAUAGUCCCGUACACCAAAAUGCACAGGUUGUGAACUCGAAGAGUAGGGCGGGACACGUGGUAUCCUGUCUGAAUAUGGGGGGACCAUCCUCCAAGGCUAAAUACUCCUGACUGACCGAUAGUGAACCAGUACCGUGAGGGAAAGGCGAAAAGAACCCCGGCGAGGGGAGUGAAAAAGAACCUGAAACCGUGUACGUACAAGCAGUGGGAGCACCUUCGGGUGUGACUGCGUACCUUUUGUAUAAUGGGUCAGCGACUUAUAUUCUGUAGCAAGGUUAACCGUAUAGGGGAGCCGCAGGGAAACCGAGUCUUAACUGGGCGUUAAGUUGCAGGGUAUAGACCCGAAACCCGGUGAUCUAGCCAUGGGCAGGUUGAAGGUUGGGUAACACUAACUGGAGGACCGAACCGACUAAUGUUGAAAAAUUAGCGGAUGACUUGUGGCUGGGGGUGAAAGGCCAAUCAAACCGGGAGAUAGCUGGUUCUCCCCGAAAGCUAUUUAGGUAGCGCCUCGUGAACUCAUCUUCGGGGGUAGAGCACUGUUUCGGCUAGGGGGUCAUCCCGACUUACCAACCCGAUGCAAACUACGAAUACCGAAGAAUGUUAUCACGGGAGACACACGGCGGGUGCUAACGUCCGUCGUGAAGAGGGAAACAACCCAGACCGCCAGCUAAGGUCCCAAAGUCAUGGUUAAGUGGGAAACGAUGUGGGAAGGCACAGACAGCCAGGAUGUUGGCUUAGAAGCAGCCAUCAUUUAAAGAAAGCGUAAUAGCUCACUGGUCGAGUCGGCCUGCGCGGAAGAUGUAACGGGGCUAAACCAUGCACCGAAGCUGCGGCAGCGACACUAUGUGUUGUUGGGUAGGGGAGCGUUCUGUAAGCCUGCGAAGGUGACCUGUGAGGGUUGCUGGAGGUAUCAGAAGUGCGAAUGCUGACAUAAGUAACGAUAAAGCGGGUGAAAAGCCCGCUCGCCGGAAGACCAAGGGUUCCUGUCCAACGUUAAUCGGGGCAGGGUGAGUCGACCCCUAAGGCGAGGCCGAAAGGCGUAGUCGAUGGGAAACAGGUUAAUAUUCCUGUACUUGGUGUUACUGCGAAGGGGGGACGGAGAAGGCUAUGUUAGCCGGGCGACGGUUGUCCCGGUUUAAGCAUGUAGGCUGAUUAUCCAGGCAAAUCCGGAUAAUCAAGGCUGAGGUGUGAUGACGAGGCACUACGGUGCUGAAGUAACAAAUGCCCUGCUUCCAGGAAAAGCCUCUAAGCAUCAGGUAACAUCAAAUCGUACCCCAAACCGACACAGGUGGUCAGGUAGAGAAUACCAAGGCGCUUGAGAGAACUCGGGUGAAGGAACUAGGCAAAAUGGUGCCGUAACUUCGGGAGAAGGCACGCUGGUGUGUAGGUGAAGCCCCUGCGGGUGGAGCUGAGACCAGUCGAAGAUACCAGCUGGCUGCAACUGUUUAUUAAAAACACAGCACUGUGCAAACACGAAAGUGGACGUAUACGGUGUGACGCCUGCCCGGUGCCGGAAGGUUAAUUGAUGGGGUUAUCCGUAAGGAGAAGCUCUUGAUCGAAGCCCCGGUAAACGGCGGCCGUAACUAUAACGGUCCUAAGGUAGCGAAAUUCCUUGUCGGGUAAGUUCCGACCUGCACGAAUGGCGUAAUGAUGGCCAGGCUGUCUCCACCCGAGACUCAGUGAAAUUGAACUCGCUGUGAAGAUGCAGUGUACCCGCGGCAAGACGGAAAGACCCCGUGAACCUUUACUAUAGCUUGACACUGAACAUUGAGCCUUGAUGUGUAGGAUAGGUGGGAGGCUUUGAAGCGUGGACGCCAGUCUGCGUGGAGCCAACCUUGAAAUACCACCCUUUAAUGUUUGAUGUUCUAACGUUGGCCCCUGACCGGGGUUGCGGACAGUGUCUGGUGGGUAGUUUGACUGGGGCGGUCUCCUCCCAAAGCGUAACGGAGGAGCACGAAGGUUAGCUAAUCCUGGUCGGACAUCAGGAGGUUAGUGCAAUGGCAUAAGCUAGCUUGACUGCGAGCGUGACGGCGCGAGCAGGUGCGAAAGCAGGUCAUAGUGAUCCGGUGGUUCUGAAUGGAAGGGCCAUCGCUCAACGGAUAAAAGGUACUCCGGGGAUAACAGGCUGAUACCGCCCAAGAGUUCAUAUCGACGGCGGUGUUUGGCACCUCGAUGUCGGCUCAUCACAUCCUGGGGCUGAAGUAGGUCCCAAGGGUAUGGCUGUUCGCCAUUUAAAGUGGUACGCGAGCUGGGUUUAGAACGUCGUGAGACAGUUCGGUCCCUAUCUGCCGUGGGCGCUGGAGAAUUGAGGGGGGCUGCUCCUAGUACGAGAGGACCGGAGUGGACGCAUCACUGGUGUUCGGGUUGUCAUGCCAAUGGCACUGCCCGGUAGCUAAAUGCGGAAGAGAUAAGUGCUGAAAGCAUCUAAGCACGAAACUUGCCCCGAGAUGAGUUCUCCCUGAGACUUUAAGUCUCCUGAAGGAACGUU